This 465-nucleotide ribosomal RNA is filed under the name uncultured bacterium. Its description in RNAcentral is "bacterial SSU rRNA". It matches the Rfam family "Bacterial small subunit ribosomal RNA", at positions 338 to 795 of the family's 1533-position model. The record is from RNAcentral.
CCUACGGGAUGCAGCAGUGGGGAAUAUUGCACAAUGGGCGCAAGCCUGAUGCAGCCAUGCCGCGUGUAUGAAGAAGGCCUUAGGGUUGUAAAGUACUUUCAGUUGGGAGGAAGGCGUUGAUGCUAAUAUCAUCAACGAUUGACGUUACCAACAGAAGAAGCACCGGCUAACUCCGUGCCAGCAGCCGCGGUAAUACGGAGGGUGCAAGCGUUAAUCGGAAUUACUGGGCGUAAAGCGCACGCAGGCGGUCGAUUAAGUCGGAUGUGAAAUCCCCGGGCUCAACCUGGGAACGGCAUCCGAAACUGGCAGGCUAGAGUCUUGUAGAGGGGGGUAGAAUUCCAGGUGUAGCGGUGAAAUGCGUAGAGAUCUGGAGGAAUACCGGUGGCGAAGGCGGCCCCCUGGACAAAGACUGACGCUCAGGUGCUAAAGCGUGGGGAGCAAACAGGAUUAGAUACCCUUGUAGUC